Marasmius oreades (fairy-ring Marasmius) is the source of this 93-nucleotide non-coding RNA. NCBI's taxonomy places the organism in Eukaryota, Fungi, Basidiomycota, Agaricomycetes, Agaricales, Marasmiaceae. The record is from the annotation of a RefSeq genome assembly.
GGUUCGAUGGCGUAGUUGCUUGUCGCAUCUAUCUACAUGUCUUGGUCGAUGUCUUCACACAGAAGGUCCCCAGUUCGAGCCUGGGUCAAACCA